UCUUCCCUCUUUCUUCGUGCUUAACACAUGCAAGUCGAACGGUGAAGGCGGAGCUUGCUCUGCUGGAUCAGUGGCGAACGGGUGAGUAACACGUGAGCAAUCUGCCCCUGACUCUGGGAUAAGCGCUGGAAACGGCGUCUAAUACUGGAUACGAGCUGCGAAGGCAUCUUCAGCAGCUGGAAAGAAUUUCGGUCAGGGAUGAGCUCGCGGCCUAUCAGCUUGUUGGUGAGGUAAUGGCUCACCAAGGCGUCGCCGGGUAGCCGGCCUGAGAGGGUGACCGGCCACACUGGGACUGAGACACGGCCCAGACUCCUACGGGAGGCAGCAGUGGGGAAUAUUGCACAAUGGGCGAAAGCCUGAUGCAGCAACGCCGCGUGAGGGACGACGGCCUUCGGGUUGUAAACCUCUUUUAGCAGGGAAGAAGCGAAAGUGACGGUACCUGCAGAAAAAGCGCCGGCUAACUACGUG
This 468-nucleotide ribosomal RNA is filed under the name uncultured bacterium. Its description in RNAcentral is "partial 16S ribosomal RNA". It matches the Rfam family "Bacterial small subunit ribosomal RNA", at positions 36 to 507 of the family's 1533-position model. The record is from RNAcentral.